AUUGAACGCUGGCGGCAGGCCUAACACAUGCAAGUCGAGCGGAUGAAGGGAGCUUGCUCCUGGAUUCAGCGGCGGACGGGUGAGUAAUGCCUAGGAAUCUGCCUGGUAGUGGGGGAUAACGUCCGGAAACGGGCGCUAAUACCGCAUACGUCCUGAGGGAGGAAGUGGGGGAUCUUCGGACCUCACGCUAUCAGAUGAGCCUAGGUCGGAUUAGCUAGUUGGUGGGGUAAAGGCCUACCAAGGCGACGAUCCGUAACUGGUCUGAGAGGAUGAUCAGUCACACUGGAACUGAGACACGGUCCAGACUCCUACGGGAGGCAGCAGUGGGGAAUAUUGGACAAUGGGCGAAAGCCUGAUCCAGCCAUGCCGCGUGUGUGAAGAAGGUCUCCGGAUUGUAAAGCACUUUAAGUUGGGAGGAAGGGCAGUAAGUUAAUACCUUGCUGUUUUGACGUUACCAACAGAAUAAGCACCGGCUAACUUCGUG
This 484-nucleotide ribosomal RNA is filed under the name uncultured bacterium. Its description in RNAcentral is "partial 16S ribosomal RNA". It matches the Rfam family "Bacterial small subunit ribosomal RNA", at positions 30 to 507 of the family's 1533-position model. The record is from RNAcentral.